AACGAACGCUGGCGGCAGGCCUAACACAUGCAAGUCGAACGCCCCUUUCGGGGGGAGUGGCAGACGGGUGAGUAACGCGUGGGAACGUGCCCAUCGGUUCGGGAUAACCCAGGGAAACUUGGGCUAAGACCGGAUACGUGCGAGAGCAGAAAGAUUUAUCGCCGAUGGAUCGGCCCGCGUCUGAUUAGCUAGUUGGUGGGGUAAUGGCUCACCAAGGCGACGAUCAGUAGCUGGUCUGAGAGGAUGAUCAGCCACACUGGGACUGAGACACGGCCCAGACUCCUACGGGAGGCAGCAGUGGGGAAUAUUGGACAAUGGGCGCAAGCCUGAUCCAGCCAUGCCGCGUGAGUGAUGAAGGCCCUAGGGUUGUAAAGCUCUUUCGCACGCGACGAUAAUGACGGUAGCGUGAGAAGAAGCCCCGGCUAACUUCGUGCCAGCCGCCGCCGUAACAC
Molecule: ribosomal RNA, 452 nt
Filed under: uncultured bacterium
Lineage: Bacteria
Description: bacterial SSU rRNA
Rfam family: Bacterial small subunit ribosomal RNA
Source: RNAcentral